This 515-nucleotide ribosomal RNA is filed under the name uncultured bacterium. RNAcentral describes it as "partial 16S ribosomal RNA". It matches the Rfam family "Bacterial small subunit ribosomal RNA", at positions 28 to 523 of the family's 1533-position model. The record is from RNAcentral.
GAUGAACGCUGGCGGCGUGCCUAAUACAUGCAAGUCGAGCGAAUGGAUUAAGAGCUUGCUCUUAUGAAGUUAGCGGCGGACGGGUGAGUAACACGUGGGUAACCUGCCCAUAAGACUGGGAUAACUCCGGGAAACCGGGGCUAAUACCGGAUAACAUUUUGAACCGCAUGGUUCGAAAUUGAAAGGCGGCUUCGGCUGUCACUCAUGGAUGGACCCGCGUCGCAUUAGCUAGUUGGGGAGGUAACGGCUCACCAAGGCAACGAUGCGUAGCCGACCUGAGAGGGUGAUCGGCCACACUGGGACUGAGACACGGCCCAGACUCCUACGGGAGGCAGCAGUAGGGAAUCUUCCGCAAUGGACGAAAGUCUGACGGAGCAACGCCGCGUGGGUGAUGAAGGCUUUCGGGUCGUAAAACUCUGUUGUUAGGGAAGAACAAGUGCUAGUUGAAUAAGCUGGCACCUUGACGGUACCUAACCAGAAAGCCACGGCUAACUACGUGCCAGCCGCCGCUGUAA